GGGAAAUAGAGAGGAAGGUAUACUGUAUAUAGUGCAACAUACAGUACCAUUUACCCCCCCCCCAAAAAAAGAGUAACACAUGGUGACAAGACAGAAUGGAGAAUUCACACAAUUUUUCUUCAUUUAUAGGUUUUAAAGUAAACAAUCAAGAUCUUCAAGUUGUAGCAGAAUUAUCAGGAGUCUUGGAAGCUCCAGAUGAUUUUCUGUCAUUAGAGUUACGCACUUUGUUCAAUGAUUUGCUACCGGAGCCAGAAAAUGUCCAGUGUAACGAAUUUGUUCAAAAAUAUUUGUUACUUAAACAAAAAUACCAGGAUUCGAUAAGUGAAUAAAAUUUUGUAAAAUGAUGAUCAUGUAAAAUGCUGAAGCAUCAGUUAAAACAAG
Molecule: non-coding RNA, 381 nt
Organism: Paramuricea clavata
Lineage: Eukaryota; Metazoa; Cnidaria; Anthozoa; Malacalcyonacea; Plexauridae
Source: the annotation of a GenBank genome assembly